RNAcentral lists this ribosomal RNA (500 nucleotides) under uncultured bacterium. Its description in RNAcentral is "partial 16S ribosomal RNA". It matches the Rfam family "Bacterial small subunit ribosomal RNA", at positions 30 to 523 of the family's 1533-position model. The record is from RNAcentral.
AUUGAACGCUGGCGGAAUGCUUUACACAUGCAAGUCGAACGGCAGCACGGACUUCGGUCUGGUGGCGAGUGGCGAACGGGUGAGUAAUGUAUCGGAACGUGCCCAGUCGUGGGGGAUAACGUAGUGAAAAUUACGCUAAUACCGCAUACGAUCUAUGGAUGAAAGCGGGGGAUCGCAAGACCUCGCGCGAUUGGAGCGGCCGAUAUCAGAUUAGGUAGUUGGUAGGGUAAAGGCCCACCAAGCCAACGAUCUGUAGCUGGUCUGAGAGGACGACCAGCCACACUGGAACUGAGACACGGUCCAGACUCCUACGGGAGGCAGCAGUGGGGAAUUUUGGACAAUGGGCGCAAGCCUGAUCCAGCCAUUCCGCGUGCAGGAUGAAGGCCCUCGGGUUGUAAGCUGCUUUUGUACAGAACGAAAAGGUUUCUACUAAUACUAGGAGCUCAUGACGGUACUGUAAGAAUAAGCACCGGCUAACUACGUGCCAGCCGCCGCCGUAA